GACAGAGGCCUCGAGCGUUAGGCGGAAUCACUGGGCUUAAAGCGCGUGUAGGCGGAUCGUUAAGUGUCUUGUGAAAUCCCACGGCUCAACCGUGGAACUGCUGGGCAUACUGGCGAUCUUGGGCCAUUCAGGGGUUGCCGGAACAAGCGGUGGAGCGGUGAAAUGCGUAGAUAUCGCUUGGAACGCCAAAGGUGAAGACAGGCAACUGGGGAUGUGCCGACGCUGAGACGCGAAAGCCAGGGGAGCAAACGGG
Molecule: ribosomal RNA, 253 nt
Filed under: uncultured bacterium
Lineage: Bacteria
Description: partial 16S ribosomal RNA
Rfam family: Bacterial small subunit ribosomal RNA
Source: RNAcentral